This 322-nucleotide ribosomal RNA is filed under the name uncultured bacterium. Its description in RNAcentral is "bacterial SSU rRNA". It matches the Rfam family "Bacterial small subunit ribosomal RNA", at positions 478 to 793 of the family's 1533-position model. The record is from RNAcentral.
GCUGCAGAAGAAGCACCCGGCUAACUCCGUGCCAGCAGCCGCGGUAAUACGGAGGGUGCGAGCGUUAAUCGGAAUUACUGGGCGUAAAGCGCAUGCAGGUGGUUUGUUAAGUCAGAUGUGAAAGCCCCGGGGCUCAACCUCGGAAUUGCAUUUUGAAACUGGACAAACUAGAGUACUGUAGAGGGGGUAGAAUUUCAGGUGUAGCGGUGAAAUGCGUAGAGAUCUGAAGGAAUACCCGGUGGCGAAGGCGGCCCCCCUGGACAGAUACUGACACUCAGAUGCGAAAGCGUGGGGAGCAAACAGGAUUAGAUACCCCUGGUAG